RNA transcript from Selaginella moellendorffii, 1203 nucleotides. RefSeq lists it as uncharacterized. Lineage: Eukaryota; Viridiplantae; Streptophyta; Lycopodiopsida; Selaginellales; Selaginellaceae. The record is from RefSeq and is a predicted model, not a curated record. The transcript has 2 exons.
UGUGGUGUGGUCAAAAGAGAGUGCUUCUUUGCGGCUGCCAUAGCCACGGAGCUCUUCCUUCUUCUUCCUCUCCAUUCUUGCUUGUGGUGUGGAUCCAUUGAUUCAUCUUUGCGGAGAGAUGAGCGCUGGAGUGGGAAUUCCUGGUCCCUGGAGCUUGGAAUCGCAGCCCAUUAGCUCCGGGUUCUUGGCGGUGCCUGGGAAUCGCGGUGCCCGAUUCGAUGCGCGAGUCGAGAGAUCGAGACAUUACGACAUUCCAUCGAGCGACAGCGAGAGCGGUGACGAUCUGGACGACAUUGGCGAUGAUUUCCUGGACGAGUCCGGGGAUUUCAUCGACCAUGGAUCGGGCGCGGGGAUCGAGAGCUGCGGGAGUAACAUCUCAUCGCCCAUUGAGAUUUGCCCCAAGACCGAGGGCGCGACGAGGAUCCUCCGCCAGAAAUCCCGGCGAUGCGCGGCGGAGCAGUCGCGGGAGGAGGCCUGGGAGCGGCGCCGCUUGAUCGAGGAGCUCAAGUCCUCGUCAUCGGAGCACUCGAGCAAGCUCAUCGCGCGCUCCAAUUCCGACUGUGGUCCGCAGCAGCCAUCGCUCCACAGCGAUGAGGAUCUGGGCGAUUGCCCGCGAUCGAGGAGCCUGACCGAGGAGGAUUUCGAGGAGCUGCGCGGCUGCAUUGAUCUGGGCUUCCGAUUCAAUGCCGAGAAGGAAGACCCAAUGCUGUGUAACACUCUCCCCGCGCUCGAGGUGUGCUACGCCGCCAAUCGGCAGCUCCAGGAUCUACACUCGCCCUCUGGAUCGAGCGAUUCGUGUUCGUCUUGGCAGGUCGCUAGCCCAGGUACGAGAAUUUCUUUCUUUCUUUCUAGUUCCUCCUUGGCAGCGUAAUUUAGGGUUCUUCGUGAGCUAACCACAAGAACGAUGGAGAAGAAGCUCUGUUUUCUCUUGUUUCUCUUUAGCUUUUCUUUGCAGAGCUCUAAAAGCCAGGCCUAGCAAUCGCUCCUCUACUCUAGAGGAGAGGAGCUCCAACAAGUGAAAGAGAAGCUCAAGCAUUGGGCUCGUGCCGUGGCUUGCAUUUCCAGGCAAUCGUGCUAGCUGCUAGCUACCGAGAUUUUCAUAACGACACAAAAAUUUUGGUAGCUCUCUCCAAACAAUGUGAUAUACUUCCACCAAGAACCCUAAAAUCAAUAACAAAACUGUAUAGAAUGUUCUUCGCGCGA